UUCCCACUCUCAACUCACACGACGACAGUGAUCAUGAAGUUUGCUAUCCUGAUCUGCGUUUCUGUUCUCUUUUACCUCUCUGUGGCAGAAACACAACAGAGCGAGGACAACAAUGUUCCUGAUUUUGGAUGUACUCGUGAGUACAAUCCAGUGUGUGGAGAUGAUGGAGUCACAUACUCCAAUGAGUGCAUGCUACACUGGGAGAGCAAGUAUGUGAGCAAUGUGUAACACUGAACAUUUGUGCAAUGUAAAUCCAGCAUUUUGAGAAAGCUGAGGCAACAGAUGUGAGAAUUCUCAGGCUAAGCCCAGAUGUCAGUUACUUACAAACCUUUCAAGGUUUAGUAAACAUGUUUUCAUUAUGAGGACAAAAUAUCUUUUAUAAAAAAAAAGCACAAGGCAUAGUCAACAUUUUUUACAGCAAUUCAAACAGUAUUUGUCCCUCUUCUAACCGGUCUUCUCUGUUUAGGCAUCGUAACAAGAACGUCAGCCUAAAGCACGUAGGAGUGUGUGAGACCUCCUGAACUCACUGCUGUUACAUCUAUGGCAUCCAAAAUGGCUUUCCAUUUAGAUACUACAGCAACUACGAAUGAUUUUCUGUCAUACGUUAAUCAGUAUCAUAUAAUGACAUAUGCUAUUUGAACUUUUCCAGACAUCACUUUGUCAACAUGUAAUUUCAUGCAAUAAAACAGUUUAGAAUUUAAGAGCUCUAUUUUAUUAAUAAAUUAAUAAAUAAGAACUGUAAUUUCAAAUAAACCAUAUUUAUAAUCUACAUUUUCUUUCUUUCUGUAGGAUUUUGUAGUACAUAAAAGCAUUUUUUUCUUCUGGACCAGAUAAAAAAAAAACUACAGAAUCUUCAGAAAGCUAAAAAUACUUAAAAUUACAUUUUUAAUAUAUGGGUGAAUACAUGAUUACUUUUUGUUUGCAUCAUUCAAAAAUACAUUAAAAAUUCAAUUUAUACAUACACUGACUCGA
This 972-nucleotide long non-coding RNA is filed under the name Sinocyclocheilus anshuiensis. RNAcentral's name for it is "lncRNA (ENSSANG00000019162.1)". Lineage: Eukaryota; Metazoa; Chordata; Actinopteri; Cypriniformes; Cyprinidae. The record is from RNAcentral.